Molecule: ribosomal RNA, 531 nt
Filed under: Kryptoperidinium foliaceum
Lineage: Eukaryota; Dinophyceae; Peridiniales; Kryptoperidiniaceae
Description: partial Bacterial small subunit ribosomal RNA
Rfam family: Bacterial small subunit ribosomal RNA
Source: RNAcentral
AUGAAGAGUUUGAUCCUGGCUCAGGAUGAACGCUAGCGGCAGGCCUAAUACAUGCAAGUCGAGGGGCAGCGAUUCUAACUUGUUAGAAGUCGGCGACCGGCGCACGGGUGCGUAACGCGUAUGCAACUUACCUUUUACAGGAGGAUAGCCCGGGGAAACCCGGAUUAAUACUUCAUGGUGUUAUAAUGCGGCAUCGUAUAAUAACUAAAGAUUUAUUGGUAAAAGAUGGGCAUGCGUCCAAUUAGCUAGAUGGCGAGGUAACGGCUCACCAUGGCGAUGAUUGGUAGGGGUUCUGAGAGGAUGAUCCCCCACACUGGUACUGAGACACGGACCAGACUCCUACGGGAGGCAGCAGUAGGGAAUAUUGGUCAAUGGGCGAGAGCCUGAACCAGCCAUGCCGCGUGCAGGAUGACGGCCUUCUGGGUUGUAAACUGCUUUUAUAUGGGAAGAAAAAGGUCUUGCGAGACAAAUUGCCGGUACCAUAUGAAUAAGCACCGGCUAACUCCGUGCCAGCAGCCGCGGUAAUGCGGA